RNAcentral lists this ribosomal RNA (498 nucleotides) under uncultured bacterium. Its description in RNAcentral is "partial 16S ribosomal RNA". It matches the Rfam family "Bacterial small subunit ribosomal RNA", at positions 27 to 507 of the family's 1533-position model. The record is from RNAcentral.
GGAUGAACGCUGGCGGCGUGCCUAAUACAUGCAAGUCGAGCGAACAGACGAGGAGCUUGCUCCUCUGACGUUCGCGGCGGACGGGUGAGUAACACGUGGAUAACCUACCUAUAAGACUGGGAUAACUUCGGGAAACCGGAGCUAAUACCGGAUAAUAUAUUGAACCGCAUGGUUCAAUAGUGAAAGACGGUUUUGCUGUCACUUAUAGAUGGAUCCGCGCCGCAUUAGCUAGUUGGUAAGGUAACGGCUUACCAAGGCAACGAUGCGUAGCCGACCUGAGAGGGUGAUCGGCCACACUGGAACUGAGACACGGUCCAGACUCCUACGGGAGGCAGCAGUAGGGAAUCUUCCGCAAUGGGCGAAAGCUUGACGGAGCAACGCCGCGUGAGUGAUGAAGGUCUUCGGAUCGUAAAACUCUGUUAUUAGGGAAGAACAAAUGUGUAAGUAACUAUGCACGUCUUGACGGUACCUAAUCAGAAAGCCACGGCUAACUACGUG